GAUCCUGAAGCCUAUCUGGUGUCCAUCGACAGAGUUGAAGCAAACACAGAAGUGAAAAAUCUGAUUACCGGCACAGACCCCUGGAUAGGACUCAGUGACAUUGCUACGGAAGGUACCUUUGUUUGGACUGUUCCCCUAACCCCUGCCAUCCAAAACUUUGCCGACGGACAGCCUGACAGCACGAUUGACAAAGAAGACUGUGUGUACAUUGCACAAACUGAUGGAAAGUGGCACGCUGCUGACUGCAAUUUGCUGAAGCCAUAUGUUUGCAAGAGACUAGAUCCCACCAGCAUUGAAGGCUAAUCAUACAACACAUGAGUAAUCUAUGACUCUGUGUGCCAC
This is a long non-coding RNA of Entelurus aequoreus (snake pipefish), 342 nucleotides long. RefSeq lists it as uncharacterized. The transcript is spliced from 3 exons. NCBI's taxonomy places the organism in Eukaryota, Metazoa, Chordata, Actinopteri, Syngnathiformes, Syngnathidae. The record is from RefSeq and is a predicted model, not a curated record.